AUCACCGGCGAAGCCAUUUACGGCAGCGAGAGCAGACAUGAUACUCACCGGCUCUCCACUGUCCGAUCUGCCCGUGGACGGCAACCUCUUCUUUUUCUCUGGUCUGAAUCCUAAAGAUAGAGCAGCGGCGGUUGGUGGGAAUCAAACCCCACAUAUUGGUGAAACCAGGGCCAUCAUUGACCAUGGAGUGCCCCCGCAGUGCUACCUCGCGGACGGGGUGGGGUCGCCCACAUGGCUACCACGCUGCCGACCAAUCUGUGGGGCGCGGGAGAAGCUGCGGCGUCCUUCGGUCCUUGCAUUGGUCGCGAGAGCCGAAGAUGGAUUCAAUGGAGGAAGAGGAGGGAACCGGAGCACGUCCUCUGCCGGACCCGGUGGCGACGGGGGCGGCGGGAACACGAGCGCGCCCACCUGGGGCGCCGACGCCGGUGGAGUGGCGAAGAGCGCCGUCGUGUGUCUCGCCGCUGCCGUAGUUGGGGAGCGCAGCGCCGACAUUCCUGAGCACGGCCUUCCGGCCCGCGUGCGCACCCGACAACGCGUGCCGCGCCUCGACGGUCGCCCACAGCCGGUUCUUCUGCUCCCGGCACGACGCCACCGCGCCCUCCGCGUUCUCCUUGGACUGCCCGCACCCCAUCGCGCCCUCAACCUCUGAGCGGCGAGGUUGAGGACAUGUGCACGCAGGAGCAGUUUGGUCUGCUCUGGUUUCCUUGGCGCAGGGGUGUGCGUUAUGGGGAUUCCCACGGGGAAGGGAAGGCCUCAAGCGCCGCCAUCGCCAAGAGCUGUGGAGCGCCGCCGAUGCCGCCAUCCUAUGCGACCCUGUGACUGGGAGUUCGUGCCGCUGCUGGCCGAGGGCCAAGGUGUGCCUCGCGCUGGGAGCCGCCUCCGCCGGUUUGUCAGGGUUGGGGCGCCCUUCUCCUUAGGCACCUCAGUGUGUUGGAGAAAUCGAGCUGGCUGGCUCGGUCCGCAUCUCCGGCAUCUGCUGCUGCAUCUAGCCGAUCCAACAAUACUUUUCCUUGAUUUGCAUCAGGGUUCCUCCUUUGGUCGUUGUGGCUGCUAAGCGUGGUUCUGGUCAUUGGGAGUGGCACCUCCCCUUCUUUGGCGCACCUAUGCUUCCUUCUGCGACAGAUCAGGGCCUAUCUGGAUUGCUUGGUAUUGUAGCUGCUUGAGUUUGGGUAGUUCAGCUAGAUGGAACAGUGGGCUUUCAUUGUUGUAGAUAUUUGAGUUUGACUAUGCAGUCCCACCGAUGGGCAAGCAGGCAGGCACCUGACAGUUGCUAUGCCAGCCACACCAUAUUGGUUCCUCUCGAUCAGCGUUGCUCUAUAUUAAGAGGUGAGAUACUCAUUUUUAGAUAAGAGAAUGGGAAAAAGACCAAGCAUAGACCCAUUAUGUUGAUAACUCAUUUAUCUAAGAUUAAUAGAUUUCUUCAAACUCUUUGAUGGUUUGUUGGCCUCUUUUAUUUCCAUGACCUAACAAGCUUGAAGUUCGGACUGCGGUGUUAUUAUAAGAAAUAGAAUCCAGCAUGAUUAUUGUGGUUUGCCCUGGUAGAGUGAAAGAAAAUCCCUGCUCUGUCCUCUACACCUUGGUCAUACACAUAGAAUAGGUGAUUUACUAAUGUUAUCAAUAUUUAAAGAAGCUUUGUCUUCACUUACUUAUUCAUCUCUGCGCACCAUGUUACCUUGCACAAACUGUAUUAUCAUUUUAUAGAGACGGAGGUCACCAGAAUUGUUAGCCAGGCCCUGUUAUUGUCGACCAAUUCUAAGAUAGGAAAUUUUGGAACACAGUAGCACCUGACACAUGCUAGGUUGUUGUGUCUUGGCAGUUCUGAAUCGCUUGAUGCAUUACGGUUUAUUAAAUGUUUGUUACUACAAACAAAUUGGCAAAGGACAAGUAUGUCUUCAUGCUAGCAUACCUCCCCUUUAUAAAGCAUAAGUUUGUGGUACUACUAGCAUUACCUGAAACUCAUGCAACCUUUUUGAGGCCAAGAAUUUAGUAAUCACCUAUGCGAUCGAGAAAAUAAAUCACCAAUUCUAUACAAAUAAAUGAAUCAACAACUUUGUUUCGUGAUUUUUGGCCAAAAGUGGUUGGCACAGUUUACCUUACUCAAAACUACCCUUGCAAGCUAGCUAUGUCAGAUGUUCUCCUAGGCCCUUCAUCCAUAGAACUAUAUAUACACUUAUCCUUAGUCUUUGGGUGGAACCUACAGAGAGGAGACGAGCAAAGAAAUCUUUGCUAUUCCCAUAGUCUCUUUUUGAUGGGUGGAUGAGAAGCGAAGGGAAAAACACAUGAGAAAACCGAACCAAUUCCCUUCACCAUUAGCUCAAGUUCUCUAACAAGUAGCUUGCUACAAAAUAUGAAAAUGAGUGGCCAAGAUUAUUUGGUCUGCAGUUGAUUUUUUUUUUGACUUAGUAAAGCAAUUUUGUAUUUCUAAUUUCUCUGACCAUACAGACUUCAAUUUGUGUAUAUUGGAACCAAUCUAUUCUACCUUUUCUCAUUUUGACUGAUUUCUUGCCGUUAAAUAAACUGUACUAGCUAUGCAAACAACAUUGCUCAAAGAUGUGUCAAAAAAGGUAUAUCGCAGGAAACUUCUUGCGCGUUUAGGUUGAAUAUGUGAAAAUAGAGACAGAUACUGGAUAAAUUGUAUGUGAAUAUAUGAAUUAUGUGUCGCCAUGAUAGUUUGCCAGGUACAGAUUACACAAAAUAUCUUUACUUCGAUUUUCCUUCUUAAAGAGUAACUAUUGUUUGGUAGAUUCUAUCCCAAAGAAGUUGGAGUUUAUAGCACAUAUGUACUGCCUCAUGAACCAUUUAGUAAAAGGGUAGUACUAUAUAUCCACUUGUAUUUACUUCUAUAUGCUGUCCUGAAGAUAGUCGUCUAUUUUCAGGAACCAAUGAUAUAUGGUUUGGAGAGCACAUAUGUAUUGGGUUGUUGAUGUUAUAAUAUUUGGCCAGAGAUGAUCCAAGGUGACAUUAUAAUUUGAUCUAUUGUGAGUUUAUCAAUCAAUGUUUCCAUAUUUUAUUAAAUGGUCUAUGGUGCUUACUUUUCAAUCGAGUUUUUUGUUCUGGAAAAAAACAUUGACUGAAAUUGUCAGAUCCUAUACUUGUAUUGUAUUAUCAGUUAACUGGCGAUUUAUUACUUCACUUUAUUUGUACUAAAACAGUGCUACAAAUUGGAGUUCGUGCCGUCCAUACACAUGUAUUUCCUCAUAAACCAAUUGGAAAAAUAGAUGUAAUAUCCAUGUGUAUAUACCAUCAUUCAUCACAAAAUAACAGUGGCUCAGACCUCGAUAAACAUGCUCAGCGCUCAGCGAAUAUGAGUGAUCUGUAUUGUGUACUGCCUACCAAGAUGCCAACUACCAUACAGAUCAUGGUACUCCCAGCGCACUUGACAAAUUCAACACCGAAUUCA
This is a non-coding RNA of Lolium perenne, 3400 nucleotides long. The record is from RefSeq and is a predicted model, not a curated record. Lineage: Eukaryota; Viridiplantae; Streptophyta; Magnoliopsida; Poales; Poaceae.